This 322-nucleotide ribosomal RNA is filed under the name Paecilomyces fulvus. Its description in RNAcentral is "LSU rRNA". It matches the Rfam family "Eukaryotic large subunit ribosomal RNA", at positions 331 to 670 of the family's 3401-position model. The record is from RNAcentral. Lineage: Eukaryota; Fungi; Ascomycota; Eurotiomycetes; Eurotiales; Thermoascaceae.
AGACCGAUAGCGAACAAGUAGAGUGAUCGAAAGAUGAAAAGCACUUUGAAAAGAGAGUUAAACAGCACGUGAAAUUGUUGAAAGGGAAGCGCUUGCGACCAGACUCGCCCGCGGGGGUUCAGCCGGUACUCGUACCGGUGUACUCCCCCGGGGGCGGGCCAGCGUCGGUUUGGGCGGCCGGUCAAAGGCCCCCGGAAUGUGUCGCCUCUCGGGGCGUCUUAUAGCCGGGGGUGCAAUGCGGCCAGCCUGGACCGAGGAACGCGCUUCGGCACGGACGCUGGCGUAAUGGUCGUAAGCGGCCCGUCUUGAAACACGGACCAAG